UGGUUGUGGUAACUAUAAAUAGCCAAUUUAUCACAGAUAAAAUAUAUUAAGAAAACAGCAAUAUAAAAAUUUAAGAUGGUUUUAAAAUAACUAUGUUUUAUAAAGAAAUCACUAAAAUUAUUUUAACAAUAUCAAAUGUCAGUAAAUAACAUUUGUAACAAAUUAAGCAGUCAGCUCUCUAAAUCUCAGACUCCCGAAAUCCCUGGCUUAAAAAAUGUGAGGUCCCGAAUUUAAUAAAUUUAAAUCCAGACAUCCCGAAAUUUUAAAAUAGAAUUCCCAGAUCCCGAAAGGGUCAAUCCGGAAAUCCCGAGCUUAAAAACACCUUCGAGUCCGAUAAAGGUCCUAUCCCCCCUCUUUGUUGGUAAAAAUUUUCAUGGAUAUUGUUGUACAGGUAAACAACGUAUUUAAAUGUUCGAAUAAAAAAUUUUCUAUAAGGUUGUAUGGAGACUUUUACAAAACCACGAAAUUAAAUAUUCUCAAAAUGGUAUGAAAAUUGGUACCCACGAAAAUAAAUGUAUCCACAAUAUAUGUAGAGGAAUGGCAUUUUUAUUUUUGAUACUGACUUUAUUAGCUAGAUAUCAAGUGAACCCACUAGGGUGAUCUGAUACAUGAGAUGUUGAAGUCAGUAACGGUAUCAAAACAUGCCAUUAUGCUUUUUAUUGACAAUAAAUGCCUGGACAUUAUAAUUUUUUU
RNAcentral lists this long non-coding RNA (693 nucleotides) under Mytilus galloprovincialis (Mediterranean mussel). Lineage: Eukaryota; Metazoa; Mollusca; Bivalvia; Mytilida; Mytilidae. The record is from RNAcentral.